CGCCUACGGGAGGCAGCAGUAGGGAAUCUUCCACAAUGGACGAAAGUCUGAUGGAGCAACGCCGCGUGAGUGAAGAAGGGUUUCGGCUCGUAAAGCUCUUUUGGUAGUGAAGAAAGAUAGAGGGAGUAACUGGCCUUUAUUUGACGGUAAUUACUUAGAAAGUCACGGCUAACUACGUUCCAGCCGCCGCGGUAAUACGUAGGUGGCCAGCGUUGUCCGGUUUUAUUGGGCGUAAAGCGAGUGCCGGCGGGU
This 252-nucleotide ribosomal RNA is filed under the name uncultured bacterium. Its description in RNAcentral is "partial 16S ribosomal RNA". It matches the Rfam family "Bacterial small subunit ribosomal RNA", at positions 336 to 580 of the family's 1533-position model. The record is from RNAcentral.